UACAGAGGUCUCAAGCGUUGUUCGGAUUCAUUGGGCGUAAAGGGUGCGUAGGCGGCUCGGUAAGUCGGGUGUGAAAUCUUGGAGCUUAACUCCGAAACUGCAUUCGAUACUGCCGUGCUUGAGGACUGGAGAGGAGACUGGAAUUUACGGUGUAGCGGUGAAAUGCGUAGAUAUCAAGUGGAACACCGGUGGCGAAGGCGGCCUUCUGGACAGUGACUGACGCUGAGACGCGAAAGCGUGGGGAGCAAACAGG
Molecule: ribosomal RNA, 253 nt
Filed under: uncultured bacterium
Lineage: Bacteria
Description: partial 16S ribosomal RNA
Rfam family: Bacterial small subunit ribosomal RNA
Source: RNAcentral